Long non-coding RNA from Heterocephalus glaber (naked mole-rat), 679 nucleotides. Lineage: Eukaryota; Metazoa; Chordata; Mammalia; Rodentia; Bathyergidae. The record is from Ensembl.
CUUGGGGUGGGGCUGAGGCUGGGGUGCACAGACCAGCUAUGGAAGUGCUGUUUCCCCUUUUCAGUUAUUCAGUUGUUUUGUUUCAUCUACAUACAGUGUCUUUCCUAUUAAUUUUAUGUUUUAGUGUUGAAGCUCCUCCCCCAUUGCAGAAUACCUUCUCAGUGAAUCUGAGCAUCUAGUCAGCCAUAUUGGAUCUCUCUUCUUUCAUCCUCUAAAAUCAAUGGAGAAAACCCAUGAAGAUCGCCCUAGACUGUCUUACCUAGCAUGUUUGAGGUCCUGAGUUCAAUCCCCAGUAUCAAAAAAGUAUCAAAAGAGACAAAUAUGCAGACAUCUAUAUAAUAAGUGAGUUACAAGAAACAUGGGAGAAGAGGAAAAGAGAAGGGAGAAAAGGGCCAAGGGAAAAUGGGACUGAGAACUGAUGGUUUAUGGAAAGAGACAGAAACUGAGAUGGAAGGACUGAGCAUGGAUGGAUCCUGAGGAUGCUUGCUCUGGAGACUUUGGAGAUAUUUACUUGGACUUACUCUGGAGGAUCUUACCUAGAUCUCAGGACCGAUGUGCUGUGAGAUGGAGAGAUGGUGACUGAUGUACUUCUUUGAAACAGUGAAUGUGCAGUGAAAGUUAACUCCUCUUAUUGGAAACUGAAGACUGCACAGCAUAGGCUGCAGUCACUCAGACAGGC